Molecule: non-coding RNA, 508 nt
Organism: Oryctolagus cuniculus (rabbit)
Lineage: Eukaryota; Metazoa; Chordata; Mammalia; Lagomorpha; Leporidae
Source: RefSeq, a predicted model, not a curated record
GGCGGGCGCCCACGGGGCUCUGGGAGAUGGAGUCUGAGGCGGGCGCCCACGGGGCUCUGGGAGAUGGAGUCUGAGGCGGGCGCCCACGGGGCUCUGGGAGAUGGAGUCUGAGGCGGGCGCCCACGGGGCUCUGGGAGGUGGAGUCUGAGGCGGGCACCCACGGGGCUCUAGGAGAUGCAGUCUGAGAUUUUUUUUGAGAGGCAGUGAGACUGACUGACAGAACUCUCAUGCACUGGUUCAUGCACCAAACGCCUGCAACAGACAGGCUUCGGCCAGGCCAAAGCCAGGAGCUGGAAGUUCAAUCCAGGUCUCCCACACCCAAGUAUUGGGUCCCUUCUGAGAGUCUGCAUUAGCUGGAAGCUGGAAUUAGGAGCAGAGACAAGACUUCAACCCAGGCGCUCUGGUAUGCAAUGCAGGUGUCCCAAGAGGCAGCGUAGCCACUGAACCAAAUGCCUACGCUGACUCAGUUUUGAUACUGUCAACUGAUAAACAUAAUCUUCCAAAGCAA